Molecule: ribosomal RNA, 497 nt
Filed under: uncultured bacterium
Lineage: Bacteria
Description: partial 16S ribosomal RNA
Rfam family: Bacterial small subunit ribosomal RNA
Source: RNAcentral
GAUGAACGCUGGCGGCGUGCCUAAUACAUGCAAGUCGAGCGAACAGAUAAGGAGCUUGCUCCUUUGACGUUAGCGGCGGACGGGUGAGUAACACGUGGGUAACCUACCUAUAAGACUGGAAUAACUCCGGGAAACCGGGGCUAAUGCCGGAUAACAUUUAGAACCGCAUGGUUCUAAAGUGAAAGAUGGUUUUGCUAUCACUUAUAGAUGGACCCGCGCCGUAUUAGCUAGUUGGUAAGGUAACGGCUUACCUAGGCAACGAUACGUAGCCGACCUGAGAGGGUGAUCGGCCACACUGGAACUGAGACACGGUCCAGACUCCUACGGGAGGCAGCAGUAGGGAAUCUUCCGCAAUGGGCGAAAGCCUGACGGAGCAACGCCGCGUGAGUGAUGAAGGUCUUCGGAUCGUAAAACUCUGUUAUUAGGGAAGAACAAAUGUGUAAGUAACUGUGCACGUCAUGACGGUACCUAAUCAGAAAGCCACGGCUAACUACGUG